Molecule: long non-coding RNA, 2084 nt
Organism: Fopius arisanus
Lineage: Eukaryota; Metazoa; Arthropoda; Insecta; Hymenoptera; Braconidae
Exons: 3
Source: RefSeq, a predicted model, not a curated record
UGAUAAGAGAGAUCGACAGACGUUUGGAUUUUCUGAUUCGUCGACGCGUGCAUUUACAAGGAACGGCUGUGAAUCAUUCUUGCAUUAACAAUUAUUUGGUGUUCUCCAGGGGAAUGUUGGUGGUUUGGGGAGACAGAUUUCGUCGGAAUGAAUGGGUUUUCUAAUUCGGAAUGAAACCCGUCUCCAGCCGGUCUCUUCUACCACCAGCUUGGAGUACGUCUGUGUGCUUCUGAACGAUCAUAAAUCUCCGACGAGAAUAAAAAAAAUCAUGAUAAAAAAACUGGUGAAGUUGAAGUUUGAAGUCAGGGGAUGGUUAGAACCCAAGAAGCAUAAAGAGAAUGAAAUGAAAUGGUUGUGCAGCCGUCAUUGGUGGUUGUCAGACGUCUUCCAAAGGGGAAAAGGAGAGGUGGUGAACAAAUCCUGGGAUUCCAUUCUGUUUUCUCUCCGGGUGUUUCGCAGUAACGCUUAAAAUCAAACGAAUCAGAAUUUUACCUGGAAAGCGGAUGGAAACCAUUGGCCGAUACCUAAGACCUCCAAGGACGACACUGAUGAAUCUCCGGGAUCUAUUUUAGGGAUUUUUAGUGGUCGAGAAACGUGUUUGAACGGUUACUUCGGGAAAAGAGGCGGUACUCGAGAUUUUUUGCCAUUGGCCCAUUGCCUUUCCUCGCUUACAAUUUUCUCAGAUAUCACAUUGAGAUAAUUGCCAUUUUGCUCCAUUAAAAAUCUGUCCAGAAAUUUAUAAAUAUAUACCGAUCAUCGUGGAGUUAAUAUUUCCAGUUAAUAAAAUUUGCAAUGAAUUCAGUGUUCGGAAAAUUUAGAGAUCUCGUUGAUAUAAUCAAUAAAUUUAUUAUAAAGUUCACACGAUUUCUUGUCUGGAAAUUGGCACUACAGUGCCCACAUGUGUGCCAACUUCAAAACAUGAGAAACUCUAGAUAAAAACGUAAUCCGGGCCGUUGCGAUGGGGUUUUUUCACUCGUGCGGUUGAUAAAUCCUCUCCUCCGGUUGGGGCACCAAUCCCCGACUAAAAACCCCAUGGCACCUCCCGGAAAUGUUGAAUUUUCUUCGAGUGCUCCAAGUUGGCCCUCGAAAAAAAGCCGACGAAGAGAAAACCGAUAAAUAAAUAAAAAAGGUUAUUGCAGUAAUUGUUAUUACGAAAGAGGGUAACUGGAGCAACUAGAAAAUGGGUUAUGUGGGGGAGGUCGAGUCAAGUGGGUGGAGUGGGUGGUGAUGGCGAGGGGGAGGUAUGAUAACCCCCUGAUUUGAGCGCACUCUCUGGGUGGAAGUUAUCGAUUACCGGACGAGGCCACCACAGGGUGAAACUGGGUCGAAAUGACUCAGGAGAGGGGUUUAUGUCGCAAAGGGAGUGUGAGGGGUAAGGAAUAUGUACAACCCCUCGAUCCCUCUUCCUUCUGCCCAUUCCACCCCUACCAUCCCAUCCACCCCUACCAUCCCAUCCACCCCUACCACCCCUUCCUCCUUUUCCUUCCGUUUCUCCCCUGCGUCCCCUGCGACCCCAGCAACCCCUGCCUCCCCUUCACAACCGCUCACCCCUUCUCCCACUCCCACUCCUGAUAUGCGCAUGGAAAUCAGCGCAGGGGAUUCACAUAAAGAGAGUGAGAGAGAGAAGGGGGCGAGGGGGAGUACGAGGAGGAGAAAGAGAGAGAGGGGUUGGUACACGUUUGCGUUCGCAUUUCAGUGUAGGAUCCUUGACAUAAAUAAUCAGUAGUAGAGAAUCGCGCGGCCCCGGUAGCCAUGGCGACGACAUCGAUCGACGGGCCACGAUGUGGCCCGUGUCACUAUAUCAAAUAUAUAAAAAGAUAUUCGUAAAAACUACUGUGUUCUCCCCGUUUCCUCCUGAUUCUCGGCCAUUUCCGGUCAGACAAAGUCCCCAUUAUUUUUGUACACAUUUUCUGCUGCCUCUUUUUUUGUAUUAUGAAACAUUUUUUUUGAUCCCGGAAGUUACUACAUCUGACCACCUCACAUCGGCUCGUCAUUAUGUCAAAUAUAAAUAUGUAUAAAUGUGUUACUAUGUCGAAUGCAUGAAAAGAUGUUGGAAAAAAAUAUACAAUGCGUUUUUCACGUUU